AAGACCUUAAGUUAAUGAAACUAAUAACCUUCAAAGUUAUAAUUGAAAGUAGUCUUUUAGGUCUUA
This 66-nucleotide transfer RNA is filed under the name Pternoscirta caliginosa. RNAcentral's name for it is "tRNA-Trp". Lineage: Eukaryota; Metazoa; Arthropoda; Insecta; Orthoptera; Acrididae. The record is from RNAcentral.